CACUUUUCUAGAGAGGGGCAUAAAAUCAAAAAUCGCUUGUUUACGCUGAAAAUGUGUCUGGUUUUUGGUGUUUCCUCACCCUGCUCAGAGUAGGUGGAGCCAUCCAAUAAUUUUAACACUGCCAACAACAGAAGAGGUGGUGGAAGGAAGGGCGAUAGCAAUCUCUGUAAUGACGAGCCCAAUAUUAUGCUAAGUAAGUGGGCAGUCAGGGCUGGGCUUGGCUGUAAAUAAAUCAAUCAUUGUUUCUUUCCAAGAGGAGGACCAGAUCCUAUAUAAAAGUUCUCCCACACCACGUUCCCUCAGUCCCGUUGACUCCUUUCCGCUGGUUCGUGCCGUGGGACACGGACUUCCAUCACACAGACCAUGGGGUCCCACCAGCAGAAGGGCGACGGCCAAGGGAUGUCCGAGCAGUCCGGAGGGUGCCACGGCGGCAGCGGUGGUGGUGGCAGCAGUGGCGGUGGUGGGAUCAUUUAUCAGACUCACAUGAUAUCAUCCUCGUGUGGAGGUGGAGGAGGAGGAGGUGGAGGAGGAGGAGGAGGAGGCGGCCAGCAGAGCCAAGGAUCCAUCUGCAUUAUUGGAGGAGGAGGAGGAGGAGGAGGAGGAGGGGGCUCAGGCCACCAGGGCCAAGGUCCCAUCAUUAUUGGUGGUGGUGGUGGUGGUGGUGGAGGAGGUGGUGGUGGCUCAGGGCACCAGGGUCAAGGUCCCAUCUGCAUUGGAGGUGGCAGUGGAGGAGGAGGAGGUGGUGGUGGCUCAGGCCACCAGGGCCAAGGUCCCAUUGUCAUCAUCGGGGGCGGUAGUGGAGGUGGAGGUGGCGGUGGAGGUGGAGGUGGCUCCUCCAGCUCUGGAGGAAUGUCCAUGCAGCAGCAGACCCAGCCCAUCUGCUGGCCACCGCAGACCAAGCGCAAGUAGUGGCUGCCAGAAGGACUCUGACACCAAGGAAGCCAAAGAUAUGAAGAUGCCUGACAUUUCCUCUUCUAUUAAAUUUAAGAUUAUUUGCGUUGUCUUCUUCUCCCUUCCCCUCGGAAUGUUCUGACCGGAACCUCUGGUGUUGUGUACCCCUAAUUCCAGCCAGGGCUGUUCCGUGUGCCUGUUCCUGGCUCAGUUUUCAAGUGCUUGCACCAGGCAAUAAAACUUGCAGUUCUAGAGAGUUCCGUGUGUGA
RNAcentral lists this long non-coding RNA (1160 nucleotides) under Chloebia gouldiae (Gouldian finch). RNAcentral's name for it is "Erythrura gouldiae (Gouldian finch) lncRNA (ENSEGOG00005013581.1)". Lineage: Eukaryota; Metazoa; Chordata; Aves; Passeriformes; Passeridae. The record is from RNAcentral.